RNAcentral lists this ribosomal RNA (120 nucleotides) under Pteropus alecto (black flying fox). The record is from RNAcentral. Lineage: Eukaryota; Metazoa; Chordata; Mammalia; Chiroptera; Pteropodidae.
GUCUACGGUCAUGUUAUCCUGAACGUGCCCGAUCUCGUCUGAUCUCGGAAGCUAAAGCAGGGUUGGGCCUGGUUAGUACUUGGAUGGGAGACCACCUAGGAAGACCAGGUGCUGUAGGUG